CCUACGGGAGGCAGCAGUGAGGAAUAUUGGUCAAUGGGCGAGAGCCUGAACCAGCCAAGUCGCGUGAGGGAGUACUGCCCUAUGGGUUGUAAACCUCUUUUGUCGGGGAGCAAAAGCCGGACGUGUCCGGCUGUGAGAGUACCCGAAGAAAAAGCAUCGGCUAACUCCGUGCCAGCAGCCGCGGUAAUACGGAGGAUGCGAGCGUUAUCCGGAGUUAUUGGGUUUAACGGGUGCGCAGGCGGAUUUUUAAGUCAGCGGUAAAAUCGUGGGGCUCAACCCCAUCCAGCCGUUGAAACUGGGGAUCUAGAGUGUGCGAGAGGUAUGCGGAAUGCGUGGUGUAGCGGUGAAAUGCAUAGAUAUCACGCAGAACCCCGAUUGCGAAGGCAGCAUACCGGUGCACAACUGACGCUCAGGCACGAAAGCGUGGGUAUCGAACAGGAUUAGAUACCCUGGUAGUC
This 458-nucleotide ribosomal RNA is filed under the name uncultured bacterium. RNAcentral's name for it is "partial 16S ribosomal RNA". It matches the Rfam family "Bacterial small subunit ribosomal RNA", at positions 338 to 795 of the family's 1533-position model. The record is from RNAcentral.